GACAGAGGGUGCAAACGGUUGCUCGGAAUCACUGGGCGUAAAGGGCGUGUGAGGCGGAUAGAUAAGUCGGGCGUGAAAUCCCCAGGCUCAACCUGGGAACUGACACUCGAAACUGUUUAUCUUGAGUAUCGGAGAGGAAAGCGGAAUCCUGGUGUAGAGGUGAAAAUUCGUAGAUAUCAGGGUGGAACACCGGGUGGCGAAGGCGGCGACCUGGGUAG
This 218-nucleotide ribosomal RNA is filed under the name uncultured bacterium. RNAcentral describes it as "partial 16S ribosomal RNA". It matches the Rfam family "Bacterial small subunit ribosomal RNA", at positions 524 to 736 of the family's 1533-position model. The record is from RNAcentral.